CUCUUUUUGAUGAUCUUUACUCUAGAUCACUAAAACCAAACUGUUUAGUUAGUUCACAAUGGUCUUGGAGAUAUCUUACUUGAAGAAUUAUACUCAUUAGUCCUUUGCCUAGGUAGCAUGCUUUGCAAUUGGAUACUCUUUCUCGUCAAUCCUUCAAGGAUUGCUAGUUGUGUCGACUUGGAAGUUCACUCAAAAUGAAUAUUUUUUUAGUAGACUCCUACUACAAGUUUAUCAAUAAUUGAGAUCUCAUCU
Molecule: long non-coding RNA, 252 nt
Filed under: Elaeis guineensis (African oil palm)
Lineage: Eukaryota; Viridiplantae; Streptophyta; Magnoliopsida; Arecales; Arecaceae
Description: long non-coding RNA (EGUI_LNC002697)
Source: RNAcentral